This 77-nucleotide transfer RNA is filed under the name Actinomycetota bacterium. RNAcentral's name for it is "tRNA-Phe". It matches the Rfam family "tRNA". From Rfam's summary of the family: Transfer RNA (tRNA) molecules are approximately 80 nucleotides in length. Their secondary structure includes four short double-helical elements and three loops (D, anti-codon, and T loops). Further hydrogen bonds mediate the characteristic L-shaped molecular structure. tRNAs have two regions of fundamental functional importance: the anti-codon, which is responsible for specific mRNA codon recognition, and the 3' end, to which the tRNAs corresponding amino acid is attached (by aminoacyl-tRNA synthetases). tRNAs cope with the degeneracy of the genetic code in two manners: having more than one tRNA (with a specific anti-codon) for a particular amino acid; and 'wobble' base-pairing, i.e. permitting non-standard base-pairing at the 3rd anti-codon position. Lineage: Bacteria; Bacillati; Actinomycetota. The record is from RNAcentral.
GGGCAGGUAGCUCAGUUGGUACGAGCGUCCGCCUGAAAAGCGGAAGGUCGGCGGUUCGAACCCGCCCCUGCCCACCA